Molecule: long non-coding RNA, 1474 nt
Filed under: Junco hyemalis (dark-eyed junco)
Lineage: Eukaryota; Metazoa; Chordata; Aves; Passeriformes; Passerellidae
Description: lncRNA (ENSJHYG00000013054.1)
Source: RNAcentral
AUGAUUACUCAGGGCAGAAAAUCUUCUCAUAAUUCCCAUUUUUCUGUCUUCCCAAGUGUCACCCAUGGAAGGACGUGCCUCCUCCAGGCUUGUGAAGCUGUUCUUGAGCUGGUGUUCCCUUCUGCAGGUGCUGCAGCAGCAGCUGCUGGGGGGAGCAGGCCUUCCUGUACCAAAGCCAGGAAGAACAGAAUGCUGGACAAUAUACAUCACACAUGCAGAAAAAAAAUUUGGUGGGAGAUGAAGCUUUUGAAGCCCAAACCCUCCGGUUGUAAAGGCUCGGCGGGAGGAGCACGUGUGGGAUGGGAGGGGAUGCGACUCCCUCUGCCGACCUUCGGAUCUGCUGCAGCUGCUGCCAGCUCCGAGCUCGCUUCCCGGGGUAAGAAACAGAACAUAAAAGUAAUGCUCUUCAAUUUUACAUUUAAAAUCUUCAUUUUCAAAACACUUGAAAAUCGGUUUUCCUCUGAUAUUUUGUAAUAGAAUCAGAGGGUCUGCAAAAAAAUUGAUAUUUGUGUGUACAGUCCUAGACCUGCACGUGAAGGACUUGCUUUAUUUGGGUAUUUAGGUUAUCAAAGAAAUAUUGCAAUUUUUUAACCAAAGUUAGGAAAUUCCAGGAGUUCUAAGACCACAUUAGUAAGAUUAGCUUCAGGUUCAUUCAAAAAUCAUCCCUGUGGAGAAACAUGAGAAGACUUUCUUUAAAACAGACAUGGAAUAAUCUCUCCCUUGGGCAGGGACACCUUCUACUAAUUCCAGGCUGCUCCAAGCCUUGUCCAGCCUGGCUUUGGACACUCCCAGGGAUCCAAGGGCAGCCACAGCUGCUCUGGAUUUAUUGAAUUUUGUUUUGGAUUAAUUUAAUUUAUUUUACUUAAUCCUAAUUUGUACCUACAUUAGAAAACUUUCCAAAUAUUGAAGCUGGCUUGUAGCUUAGGGGGUAUCAUCCAAGCUGAGUACUAUUAAAAUUAUGGUGGCAGAAGAGAACCCAGCUCUGGUCAAGGGUGGGUGAUUUAGUGUAGUUCUGCUGGGUUAAAAUCAUAGUUUGUGUGUUGGUUUGUUGUUUUUGAGAGGGUUCAUGUAGUACCCACAGCCUCUCAUUUAAAUUCAGUCUGGGUGCAAGUCCUCAGGGGAGCAGGGGAAGUGGUUCCCGAUGGAAAGGGAUACAAAUCCGGGGUGAGACCAAAAAGGGGUACAAAUACAGGGUAUGACAGAAAGGGGUACAAAUACAGGGUAUGACAGAAAGGGGAUGCAAAUACAGGGUAUGACAGAAAGGGAUGCAAAUACAGGGUAUGACAGAAAGGGGUACAAAUACAGGGUAUGACAGGGGUACAAAUACAGGCUAUAAUGGAAAGGGACACAAAUGCAGGGUAAAACAGUAACACUUAACAGCAGCAACCAAAGGCAAGUCCCAGAAUUCUAACAAGCAAUGUUUAACAACAGACCACUCUGAAAAACAGCCCUCAUCUCCAGGGUUUCAUUUCUC